AUUGAACGCUGGCGGCAGGCCUAACACAUGCAAGUCGAGCGGAGCGGCGGACGGGUGAGUAAUGCCUAGGAAUCUGCCUGGUAGUGGGGGAUAACGUCAGGAAACGGGCGCUAAUACCGCAUACUAUCAGAUGAGCCUAGGUCGGAGUAGCUAGUUGGUGGGGUAAAGGCCUACCAGGGCGACGAUCCGUAACUGUUCUGAGAGGAUGACCAGCCACACUGGAACUGAGACACGGUCCAGACUCCUACGGGAGGCAGCAGUGGGGAAUAUUGCACAAUGGGCGCAAGCCUGAUGCAGCCAUGCCGCGUGUAUGAAGAAGGCCUUCGGGUUGUAAAGUACUUUCAGCGAGGAGGCGUUACUCGCAGAAGAAGCACCGGCUAACUCCGUGCCAGCCGCCGCGGUAAUUC
Molecule: ribosomal RNA, 407 nt
Filed under: uncultured bacterium
Lineage: Bacteria
Description: partial 16S ribosomal RNA
Rfam family: Bacterial small subunit ribosomal RNA
Source: RNAcentral